AGGGUUCGAUUAUGGCUCAGGACGAACGCUGGCGGCGUGCUUAACACAUGCAAGUCGAACGAGGAUUCAGAAGCUUGCUUUUGAAUCCGAGUGGCAAACGGGUGAGUAACGCGUAAACAACCUGCCUUCAGGAUGGGGACAACAGACGGAAACGACUGCUAAUACCGAAUACCUUCCGGAGACCGCAUGAUUUCCGGAAGAAAGGGUGGCCUCUACUUGUAAGCUAUCGCCUGAAGAGGGGUUUGCGUCUGAUUAGGCAGUUGGCGGGGUAACGGCCCACCAAACCGACGAUCAGUAGCCGGUCUGAGAGGAUGAACGGCCACACUGGAACUGAGACACGGUCCAG
Molecule: ribosomal RNA, 346 nt
Filed under: uncultured bacterium
Lineage: Bacteria
Description: bacterial SSU rRNA
Rfam family: Bacterial small subunit ribosomal RNA
Source: RNAcentral